Molecule: non-coding RNA, 5421 nt
Organism: Cricetulus griseus (Chinese hamster)
Lineage: Eukaryota; Metazoa; Chordata; Mammalia; Rodentia; Cricetidae
Source: RefSeq, a predicted model, not a curated record
GAGGGAUAUACAUGGUCCCCCAGAGAAGGGGAAAAUGUCAGGAUCUCCUGAGCAAAUUGGGAGCAUGGCGGGAGGGGAGAGGGAGCUAGGAGAAUGAACCAUUCAUUUUUAUAAAUAUACAAACAGCAUUAAAAUGGAAGCUGAGAUGAUCUUAAACAUUUUCAAAUUUGUUUUCUUCAUUUUACAAUGGAAAUAGUAAUAUAAAUAAUGCAUUGUUGAAGACUAGUGGAAUCUAGACCACAAUUACAUCAUAGGUUUUAAUUGAUUAAGUGUUCAAUCUUUUAAAUUAAACCAUGUAUCAGAGGUUUUCAAUUUUUUGUUUUGCAGCUGAAAAACUAAAUUACAGACUCCUUGACUUGGCAGUCAUUCUGUUGGUUCAUAGCCCAGUGUUUCUAGCUGGUGAAUUUUCAUUCUUGAUUUUUUAUUUUUAAUUAGCUGACAAAUAUGAACUGAAUGCAUUGAUUUCUCUAACACAUUGUUUUGAAAUAUGUAUAUGUGUGGAAUGGCUCCAUGAGAUAAUUAACAUACAUUGUCUUGUCAUUUCUGAGGUCAGAAAAGAAGCCUUUCUUUGCAGCAUUCAAGAAUAUGAUAGUUAGCUGCUAUAGUCACCAUAAUGUCUAAUUUAUCUCUUGAACUUACUGAAAUCUUCAGUAACCUCCUAAAUAGCUGAAAAUUUGUGUUUUGGGACCACAACUUUGCCUACUGCCCUUAUCCUGGUAAUGACCAUUCUUCUCUUUGCCUCUGUAAACUUAGCUUUUCUAGAUUCCAUGUGUAAUUGAAAUCAUAUAAUGUUUGUCCUCCUGUUCCACACUUAUUUCACUUAACACAUUAAUUUCCAGGCUCACCCAUCAUGUUAUGUAAGUGAAAGGAUUUGCCACUUUUUGUUUAAACACAGAAUAGUGUUUCAUUGUGUAUGUUCCAUGUUUUCUUUUUAUCUAUUUAACUAGUGACAGAACUUGUCUUACCGAUUGUUUUGCUCAUAUGUAUCUAAACACACUAAUAUCAGGGUGGAUCAUGUGGAACUGCCAUUUUUGUGAGUCAGUAACAAUCAGGUAUCAGCCAUUAUGUACAGUUCAGCCUGUAACAACUGCUACCGUUUGUUGAUCACUCACAUUGUUCCUGGUACAGUCCUUGGCUCAUUUGUUUUUUAAACUUAUUCAUUCUUUAUAUUUAAUUGAAUUUUUACAAUAGUCAUGAAAGAUAGGAAUUUCAACACAAUGAAAUUUGAGAAACUUGGGUUCUCCAUAGUUAGAUAAAGUUCUACAGAUCACUGUAGCUAACACAUGUCAAAGUCUAAUCUGAACCCUCAUUGAUGUGAUAGUGAAAAACACUAUUAUCUGUUAUCCAGGGCUUUCAGAUAUAUUGUGUUGCAGCAUGGAAUUCUCUUGUACUUUUGUAGGUACAAUGUAUGUGUGUGUGAUGGGGGAGGCACACCCAUGCUGUGGCACAUGUGUUGAAGACAAUUUGUAGGAAUGGUUCCUUUCCUGCUAUUGUCUGUAUGUAUCUGAGGGAUUAAACCAAUACUCUUAGGUUUGGCAGUGAGUGUCUGUAUUUACUGAGCUAUAUUGGAGGCCUACAUUCUCUGUCCUUAACUGCAUCCUCUUACCAUGGUCUUGGAUAAGGUUGUUUGGGUGUUUGUUUAUAUAUUUAUUAUUAUACCUUUAUAUUUGUCAGUAAGUACUUGAUCAUAAGUAAAGGCAAGACCUUUAUUUUAUUCUGAAAGUACUUUUGAAAUUAAUUUAUUUUAUUUUGUGUAUGAGUGAUUUGUCUACUCUUUAUGUCAAUGUACUACUUGCCUGCCUAGUGCCCAGAAAGGUCAGAAGACAUCAUUGGAUCUGGGACUAGAGUAUUAGAAGGUUGUGAACCACCAUCUGCGAGCUAGAAUCAAACCUGGGGAUUUUUGGAAGAGUAGCAAGUGCUAUUGACCACUGAGCCAUCUUUCUAGUCCAGCUACCUUUAUUUUGAUUAAUGUUCUUCUGUAAUCCUUGUACCUUCUCCAUGUCAUUAGAAAUCAAAUAAAUGGCCGGGUGUUGGUGGCGCACGCCUUUAAUCCCAGCACUCGGGAGGCAGUGGCAGGCGGAUCUCUGUGAGUUCAAGGCCAGCCUGGUCUCCAGAGUGAGUGCCAGGAUAGGCUCCAAAGCUACACAGAGAAACCCUGUCUCGAAAAACAAACAAACAAAAAAAAAGUACUUCAUUUUGAUAGCUUAGGCUGUAUUGAAUGUGACCUCAGGGAACUGACUUUGUGAAUUUUCAGGGACUAUUUAGUUUGGCAUGCAUCAGAGGCCGGUAAUAGUUGUAGUGACUGUGACUAUAGUAGUCACGGAGGCCAAAGAUGCUUUCCAUUGAGAAUUAGUCAGUGUGGGGAAAUGUGAGGGAAGACAGUAGUACUGUGAUGUGUCACACAGACCAAAGGGCUUGUUAAAAUCUGUUAAUCUCAUGUGAUGGAUAGACUUAAUUCUUUCUUUGUGUAUUCAGAGAAAAGCUGAAUAUGGACAGCCAAUCUUCUAGCUUAUGAUCUGUUUUUUUUUUUUUUUUUUUUUUUCCAUGUCCAUCAUGCUAACUACAGUGUUUGGCAUAGAAAUAAUUUUUUUUUUAAUUUCGAGGCUAAUUUUGGAGAGGAAGAUAAAGAUCACUUUGUAUUUUCUUAUUACAAAGACUAUGGGUUUUUUAUUUCUAUAGAGAUGAGUUUAAAUCAUGGUUCAGGCAUAUUGGGGGGAAGUGUUACGACAGACUUUGUGUAGCCUGGAUUGUCUUGGGACUCUUUCUCUGUAGACCAGGCUGUCUUUGAACUCAGAGAUCAGGUUCAGGCAUGUUUAUGCAUUUAUGAUUUGGGCAAAUUAAUGUUUUGAGACAGUCUAGUGAUGGAAAUUUAAGACUUCAACUUGCUUGAGAAAAGGCAAGUGCAAUGCUUAGUAUCAGGUACCUGAGUUCUUAGAAAAUAAGUAUUGCUAUAAACACUCUAUAAUAUUGUCUAGUAUUAUUGGUAAUGACAUUGUAGAUGCCACUAUAUAGUAAUAUUGAGGAUUAUGUAUGUUUGUAAGUGUACCUGCUAAGUGCAGUUCAAUGACAUAGAGAUGGAAAGGAUUUGCUGAGCACAUAGCACAUGGUUGUAGGGCAGGUUGGUUUGUCCGUUGUUCCAUUAUUUUAGUGCUUAUAGGAUGUUUUGUAAAUAUAUACUCAAUGAUGAGGCUGUAUAUUUGCUGGUCAGCUGGAACAUUCAAGUUGGAAUCAUUUGAUUGAUCUCUGGGUUCUUACCUGUUUCUUUUUGAGAGAAGAAAGUAUAUGUUGCUUUUUGUCAUUGUCACAAAGUUUGUAGGGGCUUGGCUGAUGAUUGGGUAGAAUUUCUGUUCGAGGCAGAAGAAUUUUUUUCAUUAGGAAGUCAUUAAGAAGCCCUAUUACUAUUAUUAACUGAAUCCUUGGCUUUUUAACAAACAAGAAAAAUAGUGAUUAUUUCAUGAUGUUGUUCUGAUUCUUUAGAUAAAGUUAAAAUAACAGCAAUGUUCAGUGAAGCCUUUUCAUGGACUUGAAAUUGGCCUAUGUUCCUACUAUAUUUUUUCCGAAGUCCUGAAUCUUCUUCCAGGCAGGUCCUAUUCAUAAGAGGAAGCUAAAGAAUAGAAUUAAAACAUGAAGCUCAUUGUGUUAUUUUUAGAAUCGUGAAAAAUGUCAGUCUCCUUCUUUCCUGUAUUCUCUUCCUUUACAACCUUAUAUAGUAAUUCAUGUUACUACUUGAUACCCGGGAAAGCACAAAUAUAUUCUAGUCAUAUCCAUGUUACACUGAGUAUUAUGACAUGAAAGUCAAGGGUUUUAGGGGAACGGAAAGCAGCACAGAUGUGAAACAAGUUAUAUACAGUUUGUGUUCCUUAACAUCCAACAGGUUCUAAGGGUAUUGCCAUAGUGCAAUGACUCCUAAAGGUCAUUAAGAAACAUUUGUAGAAGGGAGAAAGAGAAGGAUUUUUCCUUCCUGAAGAAAAAAUGCAGUUAACUUUCAAUGUCAAACACACCUUAUAAUUUCGAAUGUCACUACUGCAGUGUGAUUUCCAAUGUCUGUGCCAUGUUUUAGGUAAUGAAACUUGUUUAAUAGUAAGCUACUGAUAGAGGAAAUACUUGGCACCUUGAUCCUAUUUCACUUUACAUCUACAUAUAUAAUGAAGUUUGUGCUAUGAUAAAUUUAAAUAGUGUGACAUAAAAUUUCUCAUGAAGAUAAGUUUCUUUCCAGUACUGGCAAUGGGCCAAGGGAAGAGUAGAUGGAGUGAGAAGACUGUGGAUUUUGAUCCAAUUUGUUUGUGUGCAUUUUUAUAAAUUAUUAAGCUGAAUUUGACAAUGGUUUCUAGCUAUAAGUUGAUUUUACAUAUAUUGUUUUAUAUGCUCAAAUUUAUUUCUAUGGCCUUAGAAAUUCUUUAGGAUAUAUAUCUGUAGAUAUAUGUUAAAAUUAUUAAAAUAUUAUUAGGGUUAAUUACACAUAGAGUAAAGGCAGAAUGAAAUGAAUUAGGUACUCAGAGUAAAGCAUUUUAUAUCUCUGAGAAUAAAAUAGACAGAUUUAAAAUUUAAGAUUUGCUUAAGAAAUAAUUUGAGAUGAUGCCCUUUUUUUUGACCAGAUUCCUUUUUCACAUAAUAGGAUUUUCAAUUUUGUGACUUCAAAUUACAAGUAACCACAUUUAUUGAAUUUUGGAAAUCUCAUUUCAGUUGGAGGCAAACAGACUGAUAGUAGUUCAAGCAGGUUUCAUUUUUCCCAUCCUGUGCUUUUAUGUCUCCUUGUUUGCCUAGCUCCUUGGUAUGCUUCACCUAUAUACCUUCCUUUAAGCAUGCCAUCCCUGAUUUCAGGAAUGGAGAUGCCCUAAGGAAAGGGGGUUUUUAUAUGAAAUACGAAAGUAAAAAGUAGCAUUUGCAGUUACAGAUGAGUUAGGGUGAUGAGGCUGCUUUUACCAAGUUUCAUGGGGGUUUUGAACUUUGUCAGAUACUUUGGUUUUGAGAAACAUGAGCUUUGAAUUCCAUUUUCAAAGUACAUUGAAUUAGACAAAGUAAAAAAUAUCUGUUUUUCACCCAAUAGCUCAUAAUGUCUAAAGGGACUAAUACCUGGCAAAUAUCAUUAGUGGUCUGUAAUCAUGGAUUUCACUGGCAAGAAAAGAGUCUCCUGAAACCACAAGAAUGUAGGAUUUCAAUAGGAAGAAGGUUCAUUCUCUAUUCGAGAGAAGGUGUUUGCUUUUGGGAGUUGUCUAUAUUCCAUUUUUUAAAAUCUCAUUCUGCCCUUCUUUAGGGUUGAAAACGAGCUUGGAUUGUGGAACCUUUCACUGAAAUAACUGUUCGGAUAUUUUAAUUCUGCACAUCUUCUCAAAUGUAGGAGAGAAAAUGAAAUUCUUUGAAGAGUUUUACCUGCUCAGACUGGAUUCACCUUUUUAAAAUUUUGCUUGAAUAAAACUUGUC